This 460-nucleotide ribosomal RNA is filed under the name uncultured bacterium. Its description in RNAcentral is "partial 16S ribosomal RNA". It matches the Rfam family "Bacterial small subunit ribosomal RNA", at positions 338 to 795 of the family's 1533-position model. The record is from RNAcentral.
CCUACGUGAGGCAGCAGUGAGGAAUAUUGGUCAAUGGACGAGAGUCUGAACCAGCCAAGUAGCGUGAAGGAUGACUGCCCUAUGGGUUGUAAACUUCUUUUAUAAAGGAAUAAAACGAGGCACGUGUGCCUUUUUGCAUGUACUUUAUGAAUAAGGAUCGGCUAACUCCGUGCUAGCAGCCGCGGUAAUACGGAGGAUCCGAGCGUUAUCCGGAUUUAUUGGGUUUAAAGGGAGCGUAGAUGGGUUGUUAAGUCAGUUGUGAAAGUUUGCGGCUCAACCGUAAAAUUGCAAUUGAUACUGGCAGUCUUGAGUACAGUUGAGGUAGGCGGAAUUCGUGGUGUAGCGGUGAAAUGCUUAGAUAUCACGAAGAACUCCGAUUGCGAAGGCAGCUUACUAAACUGCCACUGACAUUGAUGCUCGAAAGUGUGGGUAUCAAACAGGAUUAGAUACCCCAGUAGUC